This 207-nucleotide ribosomal RNA is filed under the name uncultured bacterium. RNAcentral's name for it is "partial 16S ribosomal RNA". It matches the Rfam family "Bacterial small subunit ribosomal RNA", at positions 568 to 774 of the family's 1533-position model. The record is from RNAcentral.
CUCGUAGGUGGCCAACUAAGUCAGACGUGAAAUCCCUCGGCUUAACCGGGGAACUGCGUCUGAUACUGGAUGGCUUGAGUUCGGGAGAGGGAUGCGGAAUUCCAGGUGUAGCGGUGAAAUGCGUAGAUAUCUGGAGGAACACCGGUGGCGAAGGCGGCAUCCUGGACCAACACUGACGCUGAGGAGCGAAAGCCAGGGGAGCAAACG